GUGGGGAAUUUUGGACAAUGGGCGCAAGCCUGAUCCAGCAAUGCCGCGUGCAGGAAGAAGGCCUUCGGGUUGUAAACUGCUUUUGUACGGAACGAAACGGCUCUGGUUAAUACCCGGGGCUAAUGACGGUACCGUAAGAAUAAGCACCGGCUAACUACGUGCCAGCAGCCGCGGUAAUACGUAGGGUGCAAGCGUUAAUCGGAAAUACUGGGCGUAAAGCGUGCGCAGGCGGUUUUGUAAGACAGGCGUGAAAUCCCCGGGCUCAACCCGGGAAUGGCGCUUGUGACUGCAAAGCUGGAGUGCGGCAGAGGGGGAUGGAAUUCCGCGUGUAGCAGUGAAAUGCGUAGAUAUGCGGAGGAACACCGAUGGCGAAGGCAAUCCCCUGGGCCUGCACUGACGCUCAUGCACGAAAGCGUGGGGAGCAAACAGGAUUAGAAACCCCAGUAGUCC
Molecule: ribosomal RNA, 450 nt
Filed under: uncultured bacterium
Lineage: Bacteria
Description: partial 16S ribosomal RNA
Rfam family: Bacterial small subunit ribosomal RNA
Source: RNAcentral